This 362-nucleotide unclassified non-coding RNA is filed under the name Hevea brasiliensis (rubber tree). The record is from RNAcentral. Lineage: Eukaryota; Viridiplantae; Streptophyta; Magnoliopsida; Malpighiales; Euphorbiaceae.
AAAAAAAGAAAAACUGUCCAUGUUUUGGUUGAUGAUUUGGGUAAAAAUCCUACAAUUUGCCAAUAAAAAUUAAAUCACCAAAAAACUUGUGCAGGGAGAUGAGUUCCUGUGGUGAGAUUUAUGGAAUUAUGAUUAAGGAUUCAAUUUCGACUCUGCUUCUUUAUCAAUGCCUUAUCUCGUUUUUAUUUUCACUAUUGGUUUUCCUCAUUUUCUAUAAAGAAGUUCCCGGAGGCUAUUGGGUCAAAUUAGCUGUUUAAGGUUGUGCCUUGACCUUUAACAGGAACCAAAUCACUUUGCUUGUGCUCAUUUUCAUGUUGAUGAAAACUAAAUCUGUUUGAACUGGGAAGAACACCUUCAAAAAU